RNAcentral lists this ribosomal RNA (301 nucleotides) under uncultured bacterium. Its description in RNAcentral is "partial 16S ribosomal RNA". It matches the Rfam family "Bacterial small subunit ribosomal RNA", at positions 509 to 807 of the family's 1533-position model. The record is from RNAcentral.
CAGUAGCCACGGGAAUACGAAGGGGGCUAGCGUUGCUCGGAAUGACUGGGCGUAAAGGGCGCGUAGGCGGUUUGUACAGUUGGGUGUGAAAUUCCUGGGCUCAACCCAUAGCCUGCACGGGAAACUGUCGGGCUUGAGAAUGGGAGAGGUGAGUGGAAUUUCCGGUGUAGCGGUGAAAUGCGUAGAUAUCGGAAGGAACACCUGUGGCGAAAGCGGCUCACUGGACCAUUUCUGACGCUGAUGCACGAAAGCUAGGGGAGCAAACAGGAUUAGAUACCCCGGUAGUCCCUGUCUCUUAUAC